Molecule: ribosomal RNA, 250 nt
Filed under: uncultured bacterium
Lineage: Bacteria
Description: partial 16S ribosomal RNA
Rfam family: Bacterial small subunit ribosomal RNA
Source: RNAcentral
UACGAAGGGGGCUAGCGUUGUUCGGAUUUACUGGGCUUAAAGCGUGUGUAGGCGGAUCCGUAAGUACCUUGUGAAAUCCCACGGCUCAACCGUGGAACUGCUUGGUAUACUGCGGGUCUUGAGCCACCUAGGGGCGAGCGGAACAAGUGGUGGAGCGGUGAAAUGCGUAGAUAUCACUUGGAACGCCAAUGGUGAAACAGCUCGCUGGGGUGUGCUGACGCUGAGACACGAAAGCCAGGGAGCAAACGGG